RNAcentral lists this ribosomal RNA (253 nucleotides) under uncultured bacterium. RNAcentral's name for it is "partial 16S ribosomal RNA". It matches the Rfam family "Bacterial small subunit ribosomal RNA", at positions 524 to 776 of the family's 1533-position model. The record is from RNAcentral.
UACGUAGGGUGCAAGCGUUAAUCGGAAUUACUGGGCGUAAAGCGUGCGCAGGCGGUUUUGUAAGUCUGAUGUGAAAUCCCCGGGCUCAACCUGGGAAUUGCAUUGGAGACUGCAAGGCUAGAAUCUGGCAGAGGGGGGUAGAAUUCCACGUGUAGCAGUGAAAUGCGUAGAGAUGUGGAGGAACACCGAUGGCGAAGGCAGCCCCCUGGGUCAAGACUGACGCUCAUGCACGAAAGCGUGGGGAGCAAACAGG